AUAUUGACACUCUUGAUUUCCUAUUGCAGGAGAUAUUCGUUGGUUUUCAGGAAGAUAGUGCUCUAUCUCAUGGGAAAUGGCUGUGGUGAUGGCAAUCAUCUUUCUCUGGUCUUGGCUUUGGUAGAUUGCACAGUUGAGGCUGUUAAAGUAUAUGUAUUCAUUGCGAAUCUUAGAUCAAGUGGGGGAAAAACAUAAAUCUUUUCGAGGUAAGAUGUCUGUCUUUACAUGUAAUUAGUAAGUCAGCUUAGUUAAUUGAAGCCAAAUCCAACUAAUACUACGAGAGUGCUUGCACCAGCCUUUGCCUUGGGCUCUCAAAUAUUCCUUUCGUUGAGUAAGUUAACUGAGCCAGAGACUGGGUUUCUAGCGAAUUACGAUUGCGUGGUGGAGGCUGAGGUCACCGUGCUUGGAAUUUCCGAGUCAUUAUAACAAGCAGUUAAUUGUCCUCCAAUUGGGUUCUUUGAUUGUGAGAUGCUGACUGCCUUCCUGCCUAAUCUAGGAAAUUUAUUUUAGCUGUCAGAAAAUUUAUUUCUCUUGUGGUUUUCAAAAGUACAGCUAUGUUGUUUAUUGUUUAUGCUGUCCAGUUAACUUUUUAGUGUGAUUUUGGUGCUCUAGUUUUAUGCAUCUCUUAAGGGGUGAGGUUUAUUAUAUCCUCUAGGCUAUAAUUCUUCUUUCUUCUAAGAUUUUGAUUUCCCAAAAAAAAAAAAAAAAAGAAGUGAUUGGUACAAAGAAAAUUAGGACGUAAGAGAACUAAUAAUUCCAUUACUAAGAGAAUGAAAACCAAGUACAAUAAAAUCUCAAUUAAAUUAAUAUUGAUGAUGUUGAUUAAAUAAUAAUUUUUGUUAGUUUCGACUAGGAGCCAAUAAGUUAAAUUAAUAAUUCGAUAUAUUAAUUGGAUAAUAUUUUUUCAAAAGAAAAUUAUUUUUCUAUAGGACCUAAUUAAUAAAUAAAUUGAUAAUUAAUUAAUUUGAAACUAAUUACAUAUGAUAUGUUUAUGAUUUUCUUUAUUAUACUGGCAUAAUGCUUUAUGCGUUUUUUCGAUCAUUACUACUUUCUUUACACCUUCCAUAUUGGGAGCCAUUGUUGUAUUAGGUGUUUUAUUAAGAGAAAUAAGAGAGAGAUUGAUUUAAUAUGUUGCCUCAAAAAAGUCUCCUUUGAUGAGUUACCAUCUAAUCUUGAUCUAGCCAUGCAAUCUAGCUAAAGGAUUAUCAAGUAAUUCACUCACUCAAGCAAGGUCCUAUCAUACAACGUGACAUAAUCAUUAAAUUAUCUAAUUAUACUACCUCAAAAUCACUAAAUUCUCUAAUUAUAAUAUCUUUAUAUUUCAUAGAAAAUCCUAAUAUGAAUGCAAUAUUAGUUUUAUAAAGAUAAAUUAAUAAAUUAAUUUAUUGAUAUACUAAUGUUCGAUAAAUUAAUAAAAUUUUUAUGGUCCCAAUACUAUUAAUGUACCGAGAUUAUACUAUAUAUCAUUAGCCAAAGUAUUUUCCAUUUUGUUAGUAAUAUAUUGAGUGAAGCAGUUGAAGACAAUUAAUCCACGCACUACUAGAAAGAUGGGCUAGCAUGACAGAGAAUAUUUGUCAUCCGACCCCCCUUAUGACAGAGUUUUUAUGUAUCAUUGUAGCCCCUGCGAUAAAUCCAUGACAUUAUUUUAUCUAUCACAUCUUCCAUGACAAUGUAUAUCUAUCACACAUAUGUCAUUAACCAUGCAACGUCGUUUUGCAAGACUUUUUGAAAUUAAUAGAAAAUUUUAGUGGGUAAUUUAAAUUGUUUUGAAUUUGGUGGGUUUCUUCAAAAUAUGUCAUAUAUUAAUGAUUUGUAUUCUUUGUCAUGAGAUUUAAGGUUUAAAGAAAAAUAAAAUUAUUAUUUUUAAUUUUGAAAUUAUAAUAAUACUAAUUAUUAUUAUUUAAAUUCCAGAAUUUUGAAAUAGAAAUAAUAAAAAUCACAUUUCAAAACUUGAAUUAACUGAAAUAAAAAUUACAUUCAAAUUCAUAAAAACUAUUAAAUACCAAAUAGCAUCAUAUACUAAAAAUUUCAAUCACUGGAAACUUCCAACAAAUAGCAUCAUCAAAAUACAUGGUGAAUCAAAUCCAUAAUAAUAUCUCAUAAAUCCUUUACAAUAUCUAAUCACCAACCCAUCCUAGAAAAACAGUUAAUCCAUAAAAAAAAAAAAAAAACAUUGAUGGUAAAUUCUCAAAAGCCACCAACAUCACCUGAAAAACAAAUUACAUUAAGAUGAGUACCAAAAAAAUGCAAAUUAACGUAUUGGCCACUUAUAGUUAAUCAAAUUCAUAAGGAGUCAUCACACACUUCAAUAAUCAAGAAUAAUGAAGAAUUUUACAUAUGUAACAAAAACCUAUAAUUACUAACAACAAUCAAUGUAUCAUUUUUGAACUCUUAAAUUCCUUGUCUAGAACCUUUUGACAGCCUUUUAACUGGAAUUUCUUGCCUUUCUACCUAUGUACCACAGAUAUGCUAAUUAGUUAGUAUAAAAAGAAAACAUGAUUUAAUAUGAGCAUAAUACCACAAUAUUACCUUGUACACUGGCCCAAAUCUACCUUCUCCCAGUUUAUUGUAACUUAAGAAGUUAUUUGUGGCGUUUGCUAUACUGGCAUAAACAAAUUCCCAGGCCAUAUCUUAUUUUGCUCCUUCAUUAUUAUAAUUUUUUAUAUGAUUCAUCUUUGUUAAUCCUAAAAUUGUAGGAGAAUUCCAUCAUGGAUAGUGAAUUUAUUUAGCUACUAAUUGGAAACAAUGAAUUUUAUUUGCAACUAAUCCAAAUGAAUGAUAUUAGCAAAACGCUUCGAAUAACGAGUUUAAAGUCUCCAGAGCUCACCAGAGCUAGUUGGGUGUGUAUUUUGAAGAUAUAAUAUCCACACAACCUCAACUUGUGUGGUAUGGUUACUUAUGAUCUUUUUCUAUCUUUAUUCCAUUAAUAUUAAUGCAAACUAUAUAUAUAUAUAUAUAUAUAAUCAUGCACAUUUGGAUUAAUAUUGUUUGUAACUGUAAGAACAACUAAUAAAAUUACAUAAUCAACCCAUAAAAAAAACCAACAGCAGUUAAAUUCAAUAAAAAAAAAACUAGCAGUUAAAAUAGCAACAAUGGUUAAAAAAAAACAACAUAAAUUAGAGAAAUGGAAAGUUUCUUCCAGGGCAGAAAUCAGAGAAAUCAACACAUUAGUGCCCAUCAUAGCAGAGGGCGUCCAAGACAAGUAUUUUCCAGUAAACUUAUCAUACUCAUCAAGCAACUAGUAAUUUCCACUUUAAAAAGUGAAGAAAUUAGAUAUCUAACUAAUCCAUAAAUUCAGGAUAUCAAAAAUCUUGACAAUUACAUAAAUUUUUUUCUACUACUUAUUUAGAUUCCAGUUCUUGUUCUGAGAUUACCAAAAGUAUUAACGCAGAUGAAACCAAGUUUCCAGUAUAGAGCCACUGUUUAGAACUUCACUUCUCAAUUAGUAAAGGCAACAGCCCAAUGCUAUGCUAGCCUUUCCGUCUGAGAAAGAGAUGAGGUUAUUCAGAUUUUGAAAUAAUGCUAGUGACAUGGGUAGUUUAAGCCAAAACAUAAUUUUAAAAUAAUCGAUAAUUAGUCCAGCAUGUUGUCCUUAAUCUCUUGAACAUGAUAUUCCUUCUCAUCUACUUUUUUCUUCCCAAUGAUAAAUGAACUUCAUCACAUGGCCAUGAUUAAUUCAAACAAACAAAAUUAAUUCAAAGAGAAGUGUAUUAACCGAAGAUAAAAUAAAUUAAUUCAAAGAAACAAAAUUAUCACAUGGCAAUAACUGAGAAUAAAAUGAAAACUAUUUGUGCGUACUUAUUUUUUGAAUGGGAACAGAGAUGAGACUUAGAAUCAAUUAAAUCCAACCCUAAGUUGAUUAAAAGAAUAAUUAAUUCAAGCAUAACCCUAAAAUUAUCUAAAUUAGAAUGAGAGAAGUAAGAAAAAUCAAAAUUAAAGAAAAAAACAUGUCGAUACAUAACUACUAAACUAAUAAGCCAAUACAAAACCCUAGAUCUAGCAAAUAAAUCAAAAUCAAUUGAAAGCUAAUGGUUCACCAAAAAAUAAACAACAUCAUAGAAUAGCAAUCAGAUCAAUCAAAAUAAACGGCGUAUAGAUCACAGAAAAAUCAAAUCAAAUCAAAUCAAAAGAAUAUAAUAUAAGAAAAAGAGGAAGUAAAGACCUAGCUGAACUUGUGCGUGUUGUUCAUCGGCAAGUAGUAGCAGCAGCAGGUCGAAGAGUAAGGAUGAAGACAUAUAAGAUUCAAGACGUUUGGAAACUAAGAAAAUAUUGAGAGAAAAUAAGAAGAUUCUGGAAAUUUGUUUUCUACUUCAUUCAUCAAAAAUUACAAAAGAAACUGUACACAACUAAUUUUGCUUAGCUAACUAAACAUGCUAAACAUGCUAAACAUGCUUAAUAGCUACUAUAACAAAACGAAAACUAAUAUUCACGUGUACAAGAAACUAUAUAACCACCAGGUGCCAGCUGGCAUGCCAAGUCAUCAACUUGUAACUGUGAAUUGCAACUGUUACAAUCCUAUGCUUUGCUGACCAUUUUGCUCAAAUGAGAUUCCUUAACAAAGACGAAGACGAAGAGUAGCAAUUUGUUGUCGGCAAAUAGCGCAGUAGAGGACCAAAUUUUUUGUCAGCAGCGUG
This 4634-nucleotide long non-coding RNA is filed under the name Citrus maxima (pomelo). RNAcentral's name for it is "long non-coding RNA (CMAX_LNC001395)". The record is from RNAcentral. Lineage: Eukaryota; Viridiplantae; Streptophyta; Magnoliopsida; Sapindales; Rutaceae.